RNAcentral lists this ribosomal RNA (345 nucleotides) under uncultured Desulfobulbus sp. Its description in RNAcentral is "bacterial SSU rRNA". It matches the Rfam family "Bacterial small subunit ribosomal RNA", at positions 1039 to 1382 of the family's 1533-position model. Lineage: Bacteria; Pseudomonadati; Thermodesulfobacteriota; Desulfobulbia; Desulfobulbales; Desulfobulbaceae. The record is from RNAcentral.
UGGCUGCAUGGCUGUCGUCAGCUCGUGUCGUGAGAUGUUGGGUUAAGUCCCGCAACGAGCGCAACCCUUGCCUUUAGUUGCCAGCAGUUCGGCUGGGCACUCUAAAGGGACUGCCGGUGUUAAACCGGAGGAAGGUGGGGAGUGACGUCAAGUCCUCAUGGCCUUUAUGACCAGGGCUACACACGUACUACAAUGGCCGAUACAAAGGGCAGCGACACUGCGAGGUGAAGCCAAUCCCGUAAAAUCGGUCUCAGUCCGGAUUGGAGUCUGCAACUCGACUCCAUGAAGUUGGAAUCGCUAGUAAUCGUGGAUCAGCAUGCCACGGUGAAUACGUUCCCGGGCCUU